UACAGAGGUCUCAAGCGUUGUCCGGAUUUAUUGGGCGUAAAGAGCGUGUAGGCGGCCAGGUAGGUCUGCUGUGAAAACUCGAGGCUCAACCUCGAGAUGUCGGCGGAAACCAUCUGGCUAGAGUCCGGAAGAGGAAAGUGGAAUUCCUGGUGUAGCGGUGAAAUGCGCAGAUAUCAGGAAGAACACCCGUGGCGAAGGCGGCUUUCUGGGACGGUACUGACGCUGAGACGCGAAAGCGUGGGGAGCGAACAGG
Molecule: ribosomal RNA, 253 nt
Filed under: uncultured bacterium
Lineage: Bacteria
Description: partial 16S ribosomal RNA
Rfam family: Bacterial small subunit ribosomal RNA
Source: RNAcentral